Molecule: ribosomal RNA, 236 nt
Filed under: uncultured Lactobacillus sp.
Lineage: Bacteria; Bacillati; Bacillota; Bacilli; Lactobacillales; Lactobacillaceae
Description: partial 16S ribosomal RNA
Rfam family: Bacterial small subunit ribosomal RNA
Source: RNAcentral
UGCCCAAGAGAUCGGGAUAACACCUGGAAACAGAUGCUAAUACCGGAUAACAACAGAUGAUGCCUAUCAACUGUUUAAAAGAUGGUUCUGCUAUCACUCUUGGAUGGACCUGCGGUGCAUUAGCUAGUUGGUAGGGUAACGGCCUACCAAGGCGAUGAUGCAUAGCCGAGUUGAGAGACUGAUCGGCCACAUUGGGACUGAGACACGGCCCAAACUCCUACGGGAGGCAGCAGACG